This 465-nucleotide ribosomal RNA is filed under the name Triticum aestivum (bread wheat). RNAcentral's name for it is "partial small subunit ribosomal RNA". The record is from RNAcentral. Lineage: Eukaryota; Viridiplantae; Streptophyta; Magnoliopsida; Poales; Poaceae.
AUGGUGUACCAGCUUUGCAAGGGCGUUGCUUUUUGCCACGGACGCGGUGUCCGGCACCAUGACCUUGAGCCACACAACCUACAAAUUGGUGGAUGGGUUGGUAUCAUCUGGUUUGAUCCCAGCAAGAGGAAACACGGAGGGGUUCUACAUGGAGGUUCAGGAGAAGAUCUCGCUAGGUACGACAACGUGUUCAACUGGUCCCUCAAGGCCAAUAUGAUGGGUGAAAAGGCCACCGAGUUGGCGCACAACUUCAUCGACGAGUGCGGCCUCGCUAGCCUGCUCACCCCGGAGCAGUUAGUCGAGGAGCGCGAGGGCAUGCUGCAGGAGCUCUUCCCCUCCUGCGCCGUCUUGCCUGAUGAUUUCCUUCAUUCAUGUUUCGAUGUGAGCUCUAGGUCGAAGUUGGAAGAAGACAUGCAGGAUCUAGGCAUGCAUGCAUGCUCUCUUAUCCCUGCUUAUGCUCCUUAG